UACGUAGGGUGCAAGCGUUGUCCGGAAUUAUUGGGCGUAAAGGGCUCGUAGGCGGUCCGUCACGUCGGCUGUGAAAACCCGGGGCUCAACCCCGGGCCUGCAGUCGAUACGGGCGGACUAGAGUUCGGCAGGGGAGACUGGAAUUCAUGGUGUAGCAGUGAAAUGCGUAGAGAUCAUGAGGAAGACCAGUGGCGAAGGCGGGUCUCUGGACAGUUCCUGACACUGAGACACGAAGGCCAGGGGAGCAAACGGG
RNAcentral lists this ribosomal RNA (253 nucleotides) under uncultured bacterium. Its description in RNAcentral is "partial 16S ribosomal RNA". It matches the Rfam family "Bacterial small subunit ribosomal RNA", at positions 524 to 776 of the family's 1533-position model. The record is from RNAcentral.